UCCAAGCAGCUGAUGGGAAUUUCUUUUCAAAAAAGCAGCUGAUGGGAAGUACUACGUGGGUUCCGAUUGGAGAGUGAGCUUGCCCAUAUGAUCAUAACACGUCUGCCACCUCACCCUGCAUUAGGUGAGACAGUUGAUUUCUGCUGAUCCCUUCAGUUUCAAGGGAGACCACUUGUAGUAAUGUACGUUGCGCAUUGCUUUACAAUAUAGUAUCACCCAUCCAACCUGGACAAGCUUUAAAACAUACUACCAUGAUUCAGUACUAAUCAUAUUUAGGACCUAUUUGGUUACGUUUAUUAUAAGCCUACUUAUAAUAAGUUCAAAUAGGUGUUUAAUUGUAUGGCUUAUAAUAACUCUUUGCGGUAGGUAAUGAUUUCUAUACCCCUCAGUAGUAUCCUUAAAGAGUUGAAUGGAUUGGGCCGUGAAGAGGUGUUGAGAUUGUAAAGUGCUCUUUUCCUGGUGGGAUCCAUACAAAAAAGGGUUAUUUAGAUAGGCGCCAUUACAAUUCUGCCGAUUUGGAGAUCUACCAUUGGAAUUCAACUAAUAGCAUUGGCACCAUUACAAUUCGAUACUUAUUUGAGAUAUGCCAUGCUCCACACCAGCAGCGACGUCAGGCCCACCUGCAGGUGUAUUCGAACCCGUAUUGCCCAAGCUGCCCCUAAUACAAGUGGAUAAGAUGUUCUCAGCCUAUACCCACCUGCCAUCGAGUCCCCCAUCCCCACUCUCCCUUCAACUCCGACCCAAUCCCUAACCCUAGACGCGGCGAUUGGAGACGGCGACGGCGGGCGAAUCCAUUCUUCUCCAGCGAUGGAGAGCGAGGCGGACUGAAGACAAGGAAGGCGGGAAGCAUGGACGAUGGAGCAAUGAGGGUUGACGUGUUUUCUUUAGAGAUUAAAGUUGAAGGUGUUGUCACCUCUACCAGUGAUGGUGGUAGAACCUACAGUGAAGGCAAGGUUAUGAAGUGGAUGUCUAGAGAAAAAUCCCAACAAAAAGAAAGUAAGAUGUAAGAGGUGCAAAGGGUAUGGACACUUUGAAAAGACCUGCAAGCUGGCAGAACCAGAAGAAGAUGAAGCUGUAGAAACUGAAAUUGAACCCCAAAAUAAGAGGAUGCGACAAGAAGAUGAGGGCACUAGUGAAGCACCUCAACAGAAAAAGAAAAAGAAGGCACCGGCCAAGAAGGCACCAGCCAAGAAGAAGGGUACACCCAAGAAGAAAAAGAUACCAACUAAGAAAAAACAGAAAAAAAAUUUAACUGCUCCACCACCUAGAGUUGUUAGGAGCCUGUUGGAUUGUCUUAAUCAAGGCAUCAACAACUGAAGCACCUCAAGUCAACAACUUCGUUUAUUUUGUUAAGUUUGUGAACAUAUCUGUUAUCUUAUCCACUGAACUUGUAAGGCUUAUAUGUGGCCACUUUGUGAACCUUUAUGACAAAUGAACCUAUUAGGCACUUCUAUGGCCUCUGUGAUGUUAUCUGAACCUGUAAGGUGCUCCUGUGCCUGUGUUGUGUGAACUAUGUGAAUCUAUGAAUUUGACUCUGUGAAC
Molecule: long non-coding RNA, 1542 nt
Organism: Panicum virgatum (switchgrass)
Lineage: Eukaryota; Viridiplantae; Streptophyta; Magnoliopsida; Poales; Poaceae
Exons: 3
Source: RefSeq, a predicted model, not a curated record